Molecule: long non-coding RNA, 5614 nt
Organism: Harmonia axyridis
Lineage: Eukaryota; Metazoa; Arthropoda; Insecta; Coleoptera; Coccinellidae
Exons: 3
Source: RefSeq, a predicted model, not a curated record
AUCUACUUUAAAAAAGAAAUAAUCGGAAUAUAGAAGUGAGUUUUUUGUUUGUUUUUUUUAAUACGAUAAGAAGAAUUAGAGUGAAGAUUUCGCCACACUGAACGUUUUCCCAGUUUGAUGGCAGAACUCCAUAUGUGGGCAACACAGGCGUCUAGUGUUCUUGUUGUAGAACACACUAAACAUGGCGUAGGAAACGUUGUUCACUACCACCGAUGGAAGAGUCUGGACCAUAUCUUCAGGAACUACAGCAUCCAGAGAAAUCAUGAUGCCACUUUGACAGUACAGUGAGCGUUCCCCCUGUUUGAUGGCAGAACUCCAUGUGUGGGCAUCUAUGGAACGUCUGAAGAAAUUGUAUCUAGUGUUCUUAUUGUAGAACACACUAAACAUGGCGUAGGAAACGUUGUUCACUACCACCGAUGGAAGAGUCUGGACUAGAUCCUCCGGACCUACUGCAUUCGGACACAUCAUGAUGCCACUUUGACAGUACAGUGAGCGUUCCCCCUGUUUGAUGGCAGAACUCUGAAGAAAUUGUGAGUUCCUAAAUGGUUCGAUAAAGUGAAAACUUAAUUUAAUGAAAUUAAAAAUGUCUACGAAUUUCAUAUAAAAUACUCAAAAUUUUACAAAAGGAGUAUUCAUACACCGGGCGUCUGGUCUUUGGGUCAUAACUGACACUUACCACGGCGUAGUAUAAAUUGUUUACUACCACCGAUGGCAGUGUCCAGGCAAGAUCUUCCGGACAAAUCAUGUUGCCACUUUGACAGCUGAGACGUUGCAGCAACGUAUAUAUAACGAAAAAGGCAUUAUAGAAAAUUUAUGUGAUGUUCGAUCGCACUAUCAUUGAAUAUAUUUCAAUUAAUUUACUUCAAGAUAGUUACAAUUCCUUUUAUAAUUAUUUUAUAUGUUAUAAUUUGAAUUUCGCACCCAUGAUGUUCAUUUUUUAUGAAAAUGUUGUAUUUUCUGAUUUUCACAUUUUUGAUUGUCUAACUUCAUUGACCCAAAUUCUGCUUGAAUUUGAUUCACAUUCAAAUUCAAGAACAUAACUGGAAAAUGCCAUUCUCUUGAAUUUUGUAAUUUUUAGAAUUGUAUUAAAUUACCGUUGAAUUUUCCUUCAUUUGAAGAAAUAGCAUUUCACGACAAAUGAUUAGAUAUAUCGAGCAAUUCAUUGCUUAAAAGACUACAGCAUUUCUGUGAAUUUUCAAUUAUUGAGUAGUAUUUUUCAAUAUUACAAAAAUGGUAAAUUAGAAAGAAAAAUUCAACGAAUCAGUCUAAUUAUAAAUCAUCAAAAAUAUUUUGAUUAAAAAAUGAUUUGAAAAACUUGGCCGUAUGGAAUGUUACAAGUUUGAGAAUCAGAAAUCAGAAUUUUUUACGAUACUUACCGAAGUAUUCAAACUCCGGGCGUCUUGUAUGAGGGUCGUAACCGACACUGACCACGGCGUGGUAAAUGUUAUUUACCACCACCGAUGGUAGUGUCCACACAAGAUCUUCCGGACCGACCGUAUCCGGAAAAUACAUGUUGCCUCCUUAACAGUAGCCUUGUUGCAACAACUUAUAUAUAACGAAAAAGGCAUUAUGGAAAAAGUAGUUGGGCAGGAUUUUGAGUGGUUCAAACAGAAAAUUUACUUGUAAUUGUUUUUGUGAUGUUUGAUCGCCUUACCAUUGAAUAUAUUUCUAUUGAUUCACUAAUUCGCUACUAUUCCUCUUUUAAUUAUUUUAUGUGUUAUAAUUCGAAUUUCGCAACCAUGUUGUUUAUUUUUCAUGAAAACUCCGGGCGUCGUGUAGUUCUGUCGUAAACGACACUCACCACGGCGUGGUAGAUAUUAUCUACUACCGCCAAUGGUAGCGUCCACACAAGAUGUUACAGGACCGACCGUAUCCGGAAAAUUCAUGUUGCCUCCUUAACAGCUGAGUCAACAACGUAUAUAUAACGAAAAAGGCAUUACGGAAAAAGUAGUGGGGUAGGAGGUUCAAACUGAAAAUUUAUGUGAUGUUCGAUCGCACUAUCAUUGAAUAUAUUUCAAUUAAUUUACUUCAAGAUAGUUACUAUUCCUUUUAUAAUUAUUUUAUAUGUUAUAAUUUGAAUUUCGCACCCAUGUAGUUCAUUUUUUAUGAAAGUGAUGUCUUUUCUGAUUUUCACAUGUUUUAUUGUCUAACUUCAUUGACUCAAAUUCUCCUUGAUUGUGAUUAAAAUUCAAGAACAUAACUGAAAAAUUUAAUGAGAUUAAAAAUGUCUACGAAUUUUAUAUAAAAUACUCAAAAUAUUACAAUAAGAAAAAAUUUUCUACGAUACUUACCGAAAUAUUCGUAUAUCGGGCGCCUUGUGGUUGGGUCGUACACGACACUCACCACGGCGUAGUAGAUAUUAUCUACUACGGCCGAUGGUAAGGUCCACACAAGAUCCUCCGGACCGACCGAAUCCGGAAAAUUCAUGUUGCCUCCUCAACCUUAACCUUAGCCUUGUUGCAACAACUUAUAUAUAACGAAAAAGGCAUUAUGGAAAAAGUAGUUGGGCAGGAUUUUGAGUUGUUCAAACAGAAAAUUUACUUGUAAUUGUUUUUGUGAUGUUUGAUCGCGUUACCAUUGAAUAUAUUUCUAUUGAUUCACUAAUUCGCUACUAUUCCUUUUAUAAUUAUUUUAUAUGUUAUAAUUUGAAUUUCGCACCCAUGUAGUUCAUUUUUUAUGAAAGUGAUGUCUUUUCUGAUUUUCACAUGUUUGAUUGUCUAACUUCAUUCAUUCAAAUUCUGCUUGAUUGUGAUUAAAAUUCAAGAACAUAACUGAAAAAUUUAUUGAGAUUAAAAAUGUCUACGAAUUUUAUAUAAAAUACUCAAAAUAUUACAAUAAGAAAAAAUUUUCUACUAUACUUACCGAAGUAUUCAUACUCCGGGCGCCUUGUUUGAGGGUCGUAAACGACACUCACCACGGCGUAGUAGAUAUUAUCUACUACCGCCAAUGGUAGCGUCCACACAAGAUGUUACAGGACCGACCGUAUCCGGAAAAUUCAUGUUGCCUCCUUAACAGCUGAGUCAACAACGUAUAUAUAACGAAAAAGGCAUUACGGAAAAAGUAGCGGGGUAGGAGGUUCAAACUGAAAAUUUAUGUGAUGUUCGAUCGCACUAUCAUUGAAUAUAUUUCAAUUAAUUCACUUCAAGAUAGUUACUAUUCCUUUUAUAAUUAUUCUAUAUGUUAUAAUUUGAAAUUCGCACCCAUAUAGUUCAUUUUUUAUGAAAGUGAUGUCUUUUCUGAUUUUCACAUGUUUGAUUGUCUAACUUCAUUGACCCAAAUUCUCCUUGAUUGUGAUUAAAAUUCAAGAACAUAACUGAAAAAUUUAUUGAGAUUAAAAAUGUCUACGAAUUUUAUAUAAAAAACUCAAAAUAUUACAAUAAGAAAAAAUUUUCUACGAUACUUACCGAAGUAUUCAUACUCCGGGCGCCUUGUAUGAGGGUCGUAAACGACACUCACCACGGCGUGGUAGAUAUUAUCUACUACCGCCAAUGGUAGCGUCCACACAAGAUCUUACAGGACCGACCGUAUCCGGAAAAUUCAUGUUGCCUCCUUAACAGCUGAGUCAACAACGUAUAUAUAACGAAAGAGGCAUUACGGAAAAAGUAGUGGGGUAGGAGGUUCAAACUGAAAAUUUAUGUGAUGUUCGAUCGCACUAUCAUUGAAUAUAUUUCAAUUAAUUUACUUCAAGAUAGUUACUAUUCCUUUUAUAAUUAUUUUAUAUGUUAUAAUUUGAAUUUCGCACCCAUGAUGUUCAUUUUUUAUGAAAGUGAUGUCUUUUCUGAUUUUCACAUGUUUGAUUGUCUAACUUCAUUGACACAAAUUCUGCUUGAAUUUGAUUCACGUUCAAAUUCAAGAACAUAACUGGAAAAUGCCAUUCUCUUGAAUUUUGUAAUUUUUAGAAUUGUAUUAAAUUUCCGUUGAAUUUUCCUUCAUUUGAAGAAAUAGCAUUUCACGACAAAUGAUUAGAUAUAUCGAGCAAUUCAUUGCUUAAAAGACUACAGCAUUUCUGUGAAUUUUUAAUUAUUAAGUAGUAUUUUUCAAUAUUACAAAAAUGGUAAACUAGAAAGAAAAAUUCAACGAAUCAGUCUAAUUAUAAAUCAUCAAAAAUAUUUUGAUUAAAAAAUGAUUUGAAAAACUUGGCCGUAUGGAAUGUUACAAGUUUGAGAAUCAGAAAUCAGAAUUUUCUACGAUACUUACCGAAGUAUUCAAACUCCGGGCGUCUUGUAUGAGGGUCGUAACCGACACUGACCACGGCGUGGUAAAUGUUAUUUACCACCGCCGAUGGUAGUGUCCACACAAGACCUUUUGGUCAUAAAUGACACGGCGUAAAACAAAUUUAUUCCAUAUUAAAUACAGCUUUUUUAAAUUGUUUUUUCUUCUUAGUAAAAAUUAUUCACUACUACCGAUGGCACAGGCUAGAUCUUCCGGACCGACCGUAUCCGGAAAAUUCAUGUUGCCUCUUUAACAGUAGCCUGAAACUUUAUGUGAUCUUCGACUUCGAUCGCACUAUCAUUGAAUAUAUUUCAAUUAAUUUACUUCAAGAUAGUUACUAUUCCUUUUAUAAUUAUUAUAUAUGUUAUAAUUUGAAUUUCGCACCCAUGUAGUUCAUUUUUUAUGAAAAUGAUGUCUUUUCUGAUUUUCACAUGUUUUAUUGUCUAACUUCAUUGACUCAAAUUCUCCUUGAUUGUGAUUAAAAUUCAAGAACAUAACUGAAAAUUUAAUGAGAUCAAAAAUGUCUACGGUCUAGAGACCGAAGACAUAAAUAUCGUAGAAAAUUUUUUCUUAUUGUAACAUUUGAGUAUUUUUAUAUAAAAUUUCGUAGAAGAAAUUUACUACGGCGUAGUAAACAUUUUUUACUACCACCGAUGGCAGUGUCAAAGCUAGAACUUCCGUUCCUACUGCAUCCGGAGAAAUCAUGUUGUCAUUUUGACAGCUGAGUUGUUGCAACAACGUAUAUAUAACGAAAAAGGCAUUAUAGAAAAUUUAUGUGUUGUUCGAUCGCACUAUCAUUGAAUAUAUUUCAAUUAAUUCACUUCAAGAUAGUUACUAUUCCUUUUAUAAUUAUUUUAUAUGUUAUAAUUUGAAUUUCGCACCCAUGAUGUUCAUUUUUUAUGAAAAUGUUGUAUUUUCUGAUUGUCACAUUUUUGAUUGUCUAACUUCAUUGACCCAAAUUCUGCUUGAAUUUGAUUCACGUUCAAAUUCAAGAACAUAACUGGAAAAUGCCAUUCUCUUGAAUUUUGUAAUUUUUAGAAUUGUAUUAAAUUUCCGUUGAAUUUUCCUUCAUUUGAAGGAAUAGCAUUUCACGACAAAUGAUUAGAUAUAUCGAGCAAUUCAUUGCUUAAAAGACUACAGCAUUUCUGUGAAUUUUUAAUUAUUGAGUAGUAUUUUUCAAUAUUACAAAAAUGGUAAAUUAGAAAGAAAACUUCAACGAAUCAGUCUAAUUAUAAAUCAUCAAAAAUAUUUUGAUUAAAAAAUGAUUUGAAAAACUUGGCCGUAUGGAAUGUUACAAGUUUGAGAAUCAGAAAUCAGAAUUUUUUACGAUACUUACCGAAGUAUUCAAACUCCGGGCGUCUUGUACGAGGGUCGUAACCGACACUGACCUCGGCGUGGUAAA